Molecule: non-coding RNA, 3254 nt
Organism: Penaeus vannamei (Pacific white shrimp)
Lineage: Eukaryota; Metazoa; Arthropoda; Malacostraca; Decapoda; Penaeidae
Source: RefSeq, a predicted model, not a curated record
AGUUUUGAUUACUAUAAAUGGCAGCUAAAGCGCUUGGGAAAGCACAUCUUCAAGAUGAUGUCUUUCAUGAUAAUUCUUGGGAUGGUGGCUGCAACUGCAGUUGCCAUGCCCACAAAUGUGCCUGAUUGUUCUGGUGAGGGCAGGUUCCCCAACCCAAAUACGUGUGGUGGAUUCUACGACUGCAUACAAGAUGACAAUGGGGGCUAUGAAUUAUCUUUUGAUGACUGUAAUGGAUUCGUCUUCAACACUACCUCCAGGACGUGCAGCAGUGAGAUGUGUCUUUCAAGGAGUGAGCGGAGUGUGACUAAUGCAUAUCCCAGGUACUCUUACUUGUGUGAAGGUCAGCCUGAUGACUUUGUGUGCGCCGACUGCAGAACCAUGGUCAUGUGUGUGAAAGGUCAGGCCUUUGCCCGCCAGUGCAUCAGUGGGAGGUCUUGUAGUAUCAAGGCAGCCUUUGGGGGUGCAGUGUGCUACCCAGGUCAUCCUGCUGCAUGCACCUGCCAGAGCGCGGACUCGUUUGUCCGCGAUCUGUAUGACCCACAGAAGUUCUUCAGCUGCUCUGGCAUCGGAGUACUCCCCGAGAUCCACGUUUGCCCUGAUGGCAUGGUGUUUGACGAGACCCUUGUGCAGUGUCGCAACCAAGCCAGUCUUCCAGCUUGCAGACGGCCUGGUGUCUUUGCAAACCUUGAUGACUGCUCUGAAUAUUACUCGUGCAUCUCGCUUCAAUCUGGGUGGCUGCAGAGGCUGUUCAUGUGCCCAAAUGGAACCUUGUUCAACGAGGCAACGGGAGCUUGUGAAGAUCCUUGCAAGCGGACAAUGGUGUGCUAUGAGGAAGGCAGGUUCCCAGAUCCCCUCGACCGCCGUAGCUACUACGAAUGCCUGAUUAUUGGUGGGCUGAUGAAGCGUGCCCGCUACCAGUGCCCCCAUGGUUAUGUGUGGAAGGCUAACGACUCUGGUGAUGGAGGAGCGUGUGUGGAGGACCACGAGAUGAAUCUGUAUGACUACUUCACCCGCUGUAGCAUUCCACAGGGGAUGUGUCCUGAUGAGACUACAGAUCCCUGUCUGGCAAACAACGGCGGCUGCAAUGCCAAUGCAGACUGCUUAACAAUUAAUGGAGGUGUGAGUUGCACUUGCAGAGCAGGGUACAGUGGUGAUGGAUAUACAUGUAUAGAUGUUGAUGAAUGUGCUGUGGCCAACGGCGGAUGUUCUGCAAGUGCCACGUGUACAAACUCUGAUGGCAGUUUGCAGUUUCCAGUUGUGCAGUUGCUUAGCAGGAUACACUGGUGACGGCUUCACCUGCAUUGAUGUUGACGAGUGCUUGGUUGCCAAUGGUGGAUGUGGUGCUAAUGCUUUGUGUAGCAAUACUCCAGGCAGCCGUGACUGCACUUGUGCACCAGGGUUCACAGGGGAUGGCUUUACUUGUUCUGACGUCGACGAGUGCCUUGUAAACAAUGGAGGCUGUGAUGUAAAUGCUGUAUGUCAAAACACCAAUGGUGGAAGAACCUGCACCUGUCUGCCUGGGUUCUCUGGAAACGGCAUUACUUGCACUGAUGUGGAUGAGUGUCUGGUGGCCAACGGUGGCUGUGAUGCAAAUGCCCGUUGCAGCAACACUGCUGGCAGCAGAACUUGUUCUUGCCUUGCUGGUUAUACAGGUGAUGGAAAAGUGUGCCAGCCCCUCAAGUGCCCUGUUGGUUAUGCUGGUGAAGGUGCAGAGUGUGCUCCGGACUCUGACCUUGAUGGCUACCCAGACACUGAACUGAGCUGUUCAAGCAAGUACUGCCGUAAGGAUAACUGCGUCAAUAGGCCCAACUCCGGACAAGAGGAUGCCGAUGGUGAUAAGAUUGGCGAUGCUUGUGAUAAUGAUGCUGAUGGAGAUGGACAUGACAAUAAUAAGGAUAACUGUCCCCUGAUAGCACCUGAGCCAAAGCGACAAGGAUUAGGUAACGGGAAAUAAAUGUUGACCAACUGCCCUGAUGACUCCAACCCCAACCAAAGCGAUAUUGAUGGGGACGGAAAAGGCGGACAAAUGCGACACACGAUAUUGAUAAUGAUGGUAUGCUUGAUUGCUAAAUGGUCGCAGACAAUUGUCCUAAGGUAGCUAAUUGGCAACCAAGCUGACAGUGAUGGAGAUGGUAUUUGGAGAUGCUUGCGACAACUGCCCUCAGCACGCCAACCAAGGGCAAAGUGAUAAGGAUGAAGAUCUCCUAGGGAAUGCCUGUGAUGAUGACGUGGACACUGACAGUGAUGGUGUGGAGGACAGUGUGGACAACUGUCCAAAUGUGGCCAAUAGUGACCAGCAAGACGUAGAUGGUGAUGGUAAAGGUGAUGCAUGUGAUACAGACAAUGACAAUGAUGGUGUACUUGACAAGAAUGACAACUGCGAACUAAUCCCAAAUAAGCAGCAGAAGGAUACCGACGGGGAUGGUUUUGGUGAUGCCUGCAGUGAUGACAAGGAUGGUGACAAGGUCUUAGAUCCGGAUGACAACUGCAUUUAUAACCCUAAUGUGCACAGCACCGACUUCAGACAUCUGCAAAUGGUGGCACUAGACCCGCAAACGGCAUCUACUCCUCCGGUAUGGGUCGUCUAUGACAACGGUGCAGAAAUUCAUCAGACCGUGAACUCUGACCCAGCUAUAGCAGUGGGUGACCACGUUCUGGGCGAUGUCGACUUUGAGGGGACCUUCUUCAUUGAAGACACGAGUGAUGACGAUUUUGUUGGCUUUAUAUUCGGUUACCAAAGCAAUGCCAAGUUCUAUGUUGUGAGUUGGAAAAAAGCACCACAAAACUGGUUCAACAAGGCCGAGAGAGGCGUUACUCUGAAGCUAGUAAACUCUAACACGGGCCCUGGCACGAAACUUAGGGAUGCCUUGUGGUUCACUGGGUCUACACCAAACCAGGCACAAUUGCUCUGGCAUGAUGGCAGCCUUGGAUGGAAACCCAAGGUUGCCUACCGCUGGCUGCUUCACCACCGGCCUGAUAUUGGAACCAUAAGGUUCUACUUGUACCAGGGAAAUAACCAGGUGAUGGACUCUGGAAACAUUUAUGACAGCACCCUGAAAGGAGGCAGACUGGGACUCUUCUGCUUCUCCCAGGAAGAAAUUAUAUGGUCCAACAUGGAGUAUAAAUGUGGAGAGGGUGUACCCCAGGCGAUGUUCAAUGACUUGCCUGCAAACCUACAGAAUCAGGUUCUGAGCUCUUAAAUUAAUUUCGAGUAAACGGACUAGAUGGUCUUGCACACGGAUCGACACGUCUUG